AGUGAACGCUGGCGGUAGGCCUAACACAUGCAAGUCGAACGGCAGCACAGAGGAGCUUGCUCCUUGGGUGGCGAGUGGCGGACGGGUGAGGAAUACAUCGGAAUCUACUCUGUCGUGGGGGAUAACGUAGGGAAACUUACGCUAAUACCGCAUACGACCUACGGGUGAAAGCAGGGGACCUUCGGGCCUUGCGCGGUUGAAUGAGCCGAUGUCGGAGUAGCUAGUUGGCGGGGUAAAGGCCCACCAAGGCGACGAUCCGUAGCUGGUCUGAGAGCAUGAUCCGCCACACUGGAACUGAGACACGGUCCAGACUCCUACGGGAGGCAGCAGUGGGGAAUAUUGGACAAUGGGCGCAAGCCUGAUCCAGCCAUACCGGGUGGGUGAAGAAGGCCUUCGGGUUGUAAAGCCCUUUUGUUGGGAAAGAAAUCCAGCUGGCUAAUACCCGGUUGGGAUGACGGUACCCAAAGAAUAAGCACCGGCUAACUUCGUGCCAGCAGCCGCCGUAA
This 506-nucleotide ribosomal RNA is filed under the name uncultured bacterium. RNAcentral's name for it is "partial 16S ribosomal RNA". It matches the Rfam family "Bacterial small subunit ribosomal RNA", at positions 29 to 523 of the family's 1533-position model. The record is from RNAcentral.